UAUUGCACAAUGGGGGAAACCCUGAUGCAGCGACGCCGCGUGAGCGCAGAAGUAUUUCGGUAUGUAAAGCUCUAUCAGCAGGGAAGAAGAUGACGGUACCUGACUAAGAAGCUCCGGCUAAAUACGUGCCAGCCGCCGCGGUAAUACGUAUGGAGCAGGCGUUAUCCGGAUUUACUGGGUGGAAAGGGAGCGUAGGCGGCCUGGCAAGGCUGGGGUGAAGUACCGGGGCCCAACCCCGGGACUGCAUUGGAAACUGCCAGGCUGGAGUGUCGGAGGGGCAGGCGGAAUUCCUAGUGUAGCGGUGAAAUGCGUAGAUAUUAGGAGGAACACCGGUGGCGAAGGCGGCCUGCUGGACGACAACUGACGCUGAGGCUCGAAAGCGUGGGGAGCAAACAGG
This 397-nucleotide ribosomal RNA is filed under the name uncultured bacterium. Its description in RNAcentral is "bacterial SSU rRNA". It matches the Rfam family "Bacterial small subunit ribosomal RNA", at positions 362 to 776 of the family's 1533-position model. The record is from RNAcentral.